Molecule: unclassified non-coding RNA, 378 nt
Filed under: uncultured bacterium
Lineage: Bacteria
Description: contains 16S-23S intergenic spacer region
Source: RNAcentral
UCCGGUUUGUCACCGGCGGUCUCCCUAGAGUUCCCACCAUUGCGUGCUGGCAACUAGGGACAAGGGUUGCGCUCGUUGCGGGACUUAACCCAACAUCUCACGACACGAGCUGACGACAGCCAUGCAGCACCUGUGCUAGCUCCCCGAAGGGUCCUUCAUGUUUCUAAUCCGUACUACUAGCAUGUCAAGCCUUGGUAAGGUUCUUCGCGUUGCAUCGAAUUAAACCACACGCUCCGCCACUUGUGCGGGCCCCCGUCAAUUCCUUUGAGUUUCAGCCUUGCGACUGUACUCCCCAGGCGGCAUAUUUAACGCGUUAGCUCCGGCACAGAUCAACUGAAUGACCUACACCAAAUAUGCAUCGUUUAGGGCGUGGACUAC